Molecule: microRNA precursor, 77 nt
Filed under: Myotis lucifugus (little brown bat)
Lineage: Eukaryota; Metazoa; Chordata; Mammalia; Chiroptera; Vespertilionidae
Description: mir-9229 microRNA precursor family
Rfam family: mir-9229 microRNA precursor family
Source: Rfam by way of RNAcentral
GAGACACCCUUCUGGGGCAAGACUUUGCUUCAGUGGGGCUUUGGUGCUCACUGAGUCUUCCCCCUGAGUGUGUCCCU